Triplophysa rosa is the source of this 362-nucleotide long non-coding RNA. RefSeq lists it as uncharacterized. NCBI's taxonomy places the organism in Eukaryota, Metazoa, Chordata, Actinopteri, Cypriniformes, Nemacheilidae. The transcript is spliced from 3 exons. The record is from RefSeq and is a predicted model, not a curated record.
CGUACAUCAUGCGUGCUAACACGCCAGCCAAUGAAAUCCUGCAAACCUUCCAAAAGAUUCAGCCGUGUUACCCUGUGGCCUGGUCUCCAGGGAUGAAAUCUCUCUUAAGAAAGCUGUUGUGUGUAGAUGCUCAGCAGAGGAUUUCCAGCCUGUCAGAGCUUCAGGAUGUGGAAUGUCUGUCUGAAGUCAACUAGGACACUGUUCUUAACAAACAAAUCCCACCCGGCUUCCUCCCUAAUAGACGGAGACUGAACUGUGACCCCACGUUUGAGCUGGAGGAGAUGAUCCUUGAAUCCAAACCAUUACAUAAGAAAAAGAAGAGACUAGCGAAAAAGACAAGAGAGAACGGCUCUGAUGGAUCU